CCUACGGGUGGCAGCAGUGAGGAAUAUUGGUCAAUGGGCGGGCGCCUGAACCAGCCAAGUCGCGUGAGGGAAGACGGUCCAGCGGAUCGUAAACCUCUUUUGUCAGGGAGCAAAGGCGGCGACUAGUCCCCGGAUGAGGGUACCUGAAGAAAAAGCAUCGGCUAACUCCGUGCCCGCAGCCGCGGUAAUACGGAGGAUGCGAGCGUUAUCCGGAUUUAUUGGGUUUAAAGGGUGCGCAGGCGGCCUGUUAAGUCAGCGGUAAAAGCGCGGGGCUCAACCCCGGCGAGCCGUUGAAACUGGCGUUCUGGAGUUGGAGAGAGGUACGCGGAAUGCGCGGUGUAGCGGUGAAAUGCUUAGAUAUCGCGCAGAACCCCGAUUGCGAAGGCAGCGUACCGGCUCCACACUGACGCUGAGGCACGAAAGCGUGGGUAUCGAACAGGAUUAGAUACCCUGGUAGUC
Molecule: ribosomal RNA, 459 nt
Filed under: uncultured bacterium
Lineage: Bacteria
Description: partial 16S ribosomal RNA
Rfam family: Bacterial small subunit ribosomal RNA
Source: RNAcentral